CAGCCGCCGCGGGAAAACGAAGGGUGCAAGCGUUAAUCGGAAUUACUGGGCGUAAAGCGUGCGCAGGCGGCUUUGCAAGACAGAUGUGAAAUCCCCGGGCUCAACCUGGGACCUGCAUUUGUGACUGUAUAGCUAGGGUACGGUAGAGGGGGAUGGAAUUCCGCGUGUAGCAGUGAAAUGCGAAGAUAUGCGGAGGAACACCGAUGGCGAAGGCAAUCCCCUGGACCUGUACUGACGCUCAUGCACGAAAGCGUGGGGAGCAAACAGGAUUAGAUACCCCAGUAGUCCCUGUCUCUUAUAC
RNAcentral lists this ribosomal RNA (301 nucleotides) under uncultured bacterium. RNAcentral's name for it is "partial 16S ribosomal RNA". It matches the Rfam family "Bacterial small subunit ribosomal RNA", at positions 509 to 807 of the family's 1533-position model. The record is from RNAcentral.